RNAcentral lists this non-coding RNA (31 nucleotides) under Mus musculus (house mouse). Lineage: Eukaryota; Metazoa; Chordata; Mammalia; Rodentia; Muridae. The record is from RNAcentral.
AUGGCUUCUAUGUAGUCAUGGGUGUCCUUGU